Small nuclear RNA from Nycticebus coucang (slow loris), 167 nucleotides. RefSeq annotates it as U1 spliceosomal RNA. NCBI's taxonomy places the organism in Eukaryota, Metazoa, Chordata, Mammalia, Primates, Lorisidae. The record is from RefSeq and is a predicted model, not a curated record. The transcript has a single exon.
AUACUUACCUAGCAGGGGAGAUGCCAUGAUCAUGAAGGUUGUUUUCCCAGGGUGAGGCUUAUCCACUGCACUCUGGAUGUGCUGACCCCUGCAAUUCCCCCAAAUGUGGGAAACUCGACUGCUUGAUUUGUGGUAGUGGUGGGGAACUGCAUCUGUGCUUUCUCCUG